This 440-nucleotide ribosomal RNA is filed under the name uncultured bacterium. RNAcentral's name for it is "partial 16S ribosomal RNA". It matches the Rfam family "Bacterial small subunit ribosomal RNA", at positions 338 to 795 of the family's 1533-position model. The record is from RNAcentral.
CCUACGGGAGACAGCAGUGGGGAAUAUUGGACAAUGGGGGGAACCCUGAUCCAGCGACGCCGCGUGAGUGAAGAAGUAUUUCGGUAUGUAAAGCUCUAUCAGCAGGGAAGAAAAUGACGGUACCUGACUAAGAAGCCCCGGCUAACUACGUGCCAGCAGCCGCGGUAAUACGUAGGGGGCAAGCGUUAUCCGGAUUUACUGGGUGUAAAGGGAGCGUAGACGGUGCAGCAAGUCUUAUGUGAAAGGUCGGGGCCCAACCCCGGGACUGCAUUGGAAACUGUUGAACUGGAGUGCAGGAGAGGUAAGCGGAAUUCCUAGUGUAGCGGUGAAAUGCGUAGAUAUUAGGAGGAACACCAGUGGCGAAGGCGGCUUACUGGACUGUAACUGACGUUGAGGCUCGAAAGCGUGGGGAGCAAACAGGAUUAGAUACCCCUGUAGUC